UAACUGAAGAGUUUGAUCAUGGCUCAGAUUGAACGCUGGCGGCAGGCUUAACACAUGCAAGUCGAGCGGGGGAAGGUAGCUUGCUACCGGACCUAGCGG
This 99-nucleotide ribosomal RNA is filed under the name Acinetobacter baumannii. RNAcentral's name for it is "partial 16S ribosomal RNA". It matches the Rfam family "Bacterial small subunit ribosomal RNA", at positions 1 to 98 of the family's 1533-position model. The record is from RNAcentral. Lineage: Bacteria; Pseudomonadati; Pseudomonadota; Gammaproteobacteria; Moraxellales; Moraxellaceae.